Molecule: ribosomal RNA, 497 nt
Filed under: uncultured bacterium
Lineage: Bacteria
Description: partial 16S ribosomal RNA
Rfam family: Bacterial small subunit ribosomal RNA
Source: RNAcentral
GAUGAACGCUGGCGGCGUGCCUAAUACAUGCAAGUCGAGCGAACAGACGAGGAGCUUGCUCCUCUGACGUUAGCGGCGGACGGGUGAGUAACACGUGGAUAACCUACCUAUAAGACUGGGAUAACUUCGGGAAACCGGAGCUAAUACCGGAUAAUAUAUUGAACCGCAUGGUUCAAUAGUGAAAGACGGUUUUGCUGUCACUUAUAGAUGGAUCCGCGCCGCAUUAGCUAGUUGGUAAGGUAACGGCUUACCAAGGCAACGAUGCGUAGCCGACCUGAGAGAGUGGUCGGCCACACUGGAACUGAGACACGGUCCAGACGACUACGGGAGGCAGCAGUAGGGAAUCUUCCGCAAUGGGCGAAAGCCUGACGGAGCAACGCCGCGUGAGUGAUGAAGGUCUUCGGAUCGUAAAACUCUGUUAUUAGGGAAGAACAAAUGUGUAAGUAACUAUGCACGUAGUGACGGUACCUAAUCAGAAAGCCACGGCUAACUACGUG